GGCUGGUCCGAUGGCAGUGGGUUAUCAGAACUUAUUAACAUUAGUGUCACUAAAGUUCGUAUACCACCACCCCCCCCCACUGCUAAAUUUGACUGGCUUUAA
This is an unclassified non-coding RNA of Cavia porcellus (domestic guinea pig), 102 nucleotides long. It matches the Rfam family "Y RNA". Rfam says of the family: Y RNAs are components of the Ro ribonucleoprotein particle (Ro RNP), in association with Ro60 and La proteins. The Y RNAs and Ro60 and La proteins are well conserved, but the function of the Ro RNP is not known. In humans the RNA component can be one of four small RNAs -- hY1, hY3, hY4 and hY5. NCBI's taxonomy places the organism in Eukaryota, Metazoa, Chordata, Mammalia, Rodentia, Caviidae. The record is from Ensembl.